AUCACACCCCAAACUCCUGGCGAACUUAACCAUACUCCUGGCAAUCUCCAACACCUCCUCUUUACUCUUCCUCAACUUAUACUGCAUAUGGAUCUCACUUGUCGCAAUAAACGUGUGAAUCCUCGGCAUCUUGGCAUACUUCACAGCCUCCCACAGUCCCAUCAAUUCAUUCCAAUGAAACACAAAAUCAGGAGAAAUUUUAACAACCCAGAAACCAAACUUGUCAAAGAUUUCUUCAGAGUAUCCACAGAGAGUGAAGAAAGAAUUGCAAAGAGACUUGAUGACCCUCAACUUUCCUACACAAAUUCCCUGUUACACUCAUCCUGCACCCCUAUCUCACCUUAACACUCAUUCCUGGGAUUAUCACAUUACACCCAAUUGGCCAAAAUCCUUUACCUGAUUUUUUUCCAAUCAAAAUCUUCCAUAAAUUUCUCGAAAUCUAAUCUUUCAAACCAAUCAAACAAACAAAACCAGAGAAAAAAAAAAUGCAGAACAUAGCUUCACAUGAUUAAUGAAUAGAGAAAACACACGGACCCUAUACCAAUCUGCAAGCAGGUGAUUAAGAUGGAGCCAUUUCCCUUUCCCUUGCAACCCAUGUAGCCCUGCUACUCUCCUUUGCAGCCCGACAACCACUCUGUGCAAGCACUUGUGCCACUCUCAUUCCAAACACAACGGACUCUUGAACCCAAUAUACUUAACAAAUCUUGAAAUCCAAGAUGGAUUUUUGUCUCCCUUGCAUUGACGUAGAUAAUACUGCCUCUACUGUAUUAGCUUCAAUCAACCAUUAGCUUUGGAUGAUUUUGCAAAAUGAACAAUACCCAACAGUUCAAUGCUUAGGAGAUGAGGCCUGAGGAGCUCCUGGCGUCCUUGUUCAUAGGUAAACCAGUUCUCGAUGGUUUAGUUGGGUUGCGGUGAAAUGGGUUGUUGGUGCUUAGACAUAAUGGGGAAGGAAGAGAGAGAGGGUUCGGGGUUGAGAGACGGUUCAGGGAGAAUUGAGCAAAUAAGCAACGGCUUGGCAACUUGAGCAUUGAAUUCGGAGCAUCAACUGCCUUCUUUGAAAACGAAUCUGCAAGAAAUAUGACUAAAAGCUAAAGAGAGAAAUAGGGAUUAAACAAGGAGAGGGGAAGGGAAGGAGAGUGGAGGGUAUCUUAAUCUUUUUAACUAUGACUAAAAGUUAAGUGAAUGAAAGGACUUCCAAUUUUAACAACAUUAAAUCUGAGGGACUAAUAGUUUAAUUUUCAGAAUGCUGGACUAAGUUGUAAUUAGUACUAAAACCUAGGGACCAAAUUGUAAAUUUCCCAACU
RNAcentral lists this unclassified non-coding RNA (1304 nucleotides) under Hevea brasiliensis (rubber tree). Lineage: Eukaryota; Viridiplantae; Streptophyta; Magnoliopsida; Malpighiales; Euphorbiaceae. The record is from RNAcentral.